RNAcentral lists this long non-coding RNA (1879 nucleotides) under Olea europaea subsp. europaea. Lineage: Eukaryota; Viridiplantae; Streptophyta; Magnoliopsida; Lamiales; Oleaceae. The record is from RNAcentral.
GCAUAAUGCAUGGUCACAUUUGACUAACAAUUGCUUGAUUUUUCGCCAUGUGUUACAGGAUGCCAUUGAAUCAGGACGAAUUACGUUCGAUGACAGGAAGAAGAUGGCGGUGGAUGAAAAUCCUUUUCCACAGCCACUUGGAGUGAAUAUGGUGACGUCUGGUUUCAAAAACAAGUUGCCAAAAUUCAAAUUGGUUAUAGAUGAUGGAGAAGAAGACCCUGGACCACAUCCCAGUGUUUUUGAGCGUAUUAAAGGGAAGGAGUCUAAGAAGGAUGAAGACGUCUUGUGUGCAAGAUGUAAAGAGAAGUGAGUGGGGAUACGGAAAAAUCAGGGAUAUGGCAACAUCCCCAUCUCCCUACUCUCCUCCCAAACGCUCGGCUUGGUAGAGGGCGAGGUACAUUGUUCUACAAGGGACCGCCUUUUGAGAGGUAGUUCAGGCCAGUAGCUAAUGGGAGAACAUUCAGGCCGCAACCUCACCGACCAAAUGUAUGGCAUUCGUUCCAGUAUAAUAAAGGAAGGGCAAUACCCUUCGAUGAGAUGACUAGAACCCAACAAAGGCGUUUCCAAUGAAACUAUGGACGAAUGAUAAGGCAGCAACAGGGAGUGCCACAUCCUAAAGUGCCUAAACUACUCAAGGUAGCCAAUCAAAAUGUUCUCAAAGAUAGUGAAGAGAUCGGUACAGAUGAAUCAAUGAAAGAGCUGCCAGAAAUUUCUUUUGGGAGAUCGAAGUUUGAGCGAGGCAGAAAGGAUGAAGAAGAUCCAGAUCAGCUCCUUACUAUUUAGUUCGGUACGUUACCUCCUGUUGUGGCUAAUAAUUAUUUACUGGCCAAUGAGUUCACGAAUAAAGAGAAAGAAGAAGAAGAAAUAGAGGGUAACGAAGGAGAAGCAUGCGUGCUGGAAUAUGAAGAAGGCCAGACUUCUAGAGAGGCCUACAACGGUGAGGAAGAUGAUGGUAUGGCAGACAUUGAAGAGGAAAUCGAUCUGGAAGCAGAAAGGAAAAGAAGAGGAGUAUCGCACAAUACUCUGUUGAAGCAACUACAUUGAGAGGGAGUUCGUGAAGUAGACUUACUGGGAGAACCAUCUGGGCGUCCUUUCGAUUUUUACGUGCUGUACGGGACGCCCAAAAGGAAGAAGAGAGUGCCUCGUUCUGAAAAGUAUGGAUCGCCUCCAAAAAUAAUGCCUCCUCCCACAGGUUGGGUAAUUGAAGAGGAAGCAUCAGAAAACAGUAAAAGGGAAGCAUCAGAAAACACUUUAUUUCUAACUGUGCAGGGCGAACUAAAGUCUUUUCGCCACUUUUGAAGCUGAAAAAUCAGGACGAAUUCGUCUGGAAAGAAGAACAUCAAAUGACUUUUGAAAGCCUGAAGACAUAUUUAUCAAGUCCACUAGUGUUGGUGUCACCAAUCCAAGGACGGCCAAUGAAAGUGUAUGUCUCGACUGAAAAAGAAUCAAUAACUGGAAUGGUCGCGCAAGAAGACUAAUUUGGUGAAGAGAGGGCGAUUUACUACUUGAGUAGACGGUUAACAAAAUGUGAAUGUAAUUAUUCUGCUAUCGAAAAAUUAUGUCAUGCGUUAUACUUCACAUGUACAAAAUUAAGGGCUUAUUUACGGCCCGUAACCGUUUAUUUGAUUCCUAGAGUAACUUUGAUUAAGUAUAUGUUCUCUCGCCAUAUUUUACACCAAAGGGUAGGCCUUUGGACAUUAGCUUUAUCAGAAUUCGAAAUACAAUACAUACCCCAAAAGGCGGUCAAAAAUCAGGCUUUGACUAACUUUCUAGCCGAUUAUCCAUGCCUUGACAUGCAUGAAGAAAAUUGAAUUAGAAAUCAAUUCGUUCGAGCGAAAACCUUGGGUGUUGUAUUUCGAUGGGUUAAAAACCUCUAAAG